RNAcentral lists this long non-coding RNA (318 nucleotides) under Elaeis guineensis (African oil palm). RNAcentral's name for it is "long non-coding RNA (EGUI_LNC023664)". Lineage: Eukaryota; Viridiplantae; Streptophyta; Magnoliopsida; Arecales; Arecaceae. The record is from RNAcentral.
AUACGCCUUCUUUCACUCAAACUUGUUCCAGCUUUGGCUUCCUUUGUUGGAUAUUGUCCGAUACCUUUGCAUAAACCAGUUCCACAACUUAUUUCUUUAUACGCCAGUUUGGGUCGUCAGGGCCUACUUUGACCAUUUAUUUGGUCUUUCCGAAGCAUCUCUUUUUCAGCAGUGUAUCUGUGCUGUUUAUGUAAUCAUCUGGGUUAAGUAUAAGGGUCAGUUGAAAGAAAGAAAAAUGAUUAUACAAAAAGAAGUUGUGAAAAAUAGAAAAUACAAUGACAAAAGAAGUUUGGAAAAGAAGGAGAAAAAGAAGAAGAA